RNAcentral lists this ribosomal RNA (509 nucleotides) under Corynomalus laevigatus. RNAcentral describes it as "partial 16S ribosomal RNA". It matches the Rfam family "Bacterial large subunit ribosomal RNA", at positions 1825 to 2600 of the family's 2925-position model. The record is from RNAcentral. Lineage: Eukaryota; Metazoa; Arthropoda; Insecta; Coleoptera; Endomychidae.
GUCUUUUUGAAAAUAAUAUAAAGUCUCGCCUGCCCACUGAAAUAUUAAAUGGCCGCGGUAUUUUGACCGUGCAAAGGUAGCAUAAUCAUUAGUUUUUUAAUUGAAAGCUGGUAUGAAUGGUUGGAUAAGAAAAAUUCUGUCUCAAAUUAAUUUUUUUAGAACUUUAUUUUUAAGUUAAAAAGCUUAAAUAUUUUUAAAAGACGAGAAGACCCUAUAGAGUUUAAUAAAUUAAAAAAUUAUUUUAUUAAGGAUAAAUUAAUUUAAUUUUGACUUUUUAUUUGAUUGGGGUGAUUAAAAAAUUUAAGAAACUUUUUUUAUAUUAAAACAUUAAUUAAUGAAUUUAUGAUCCAUUAUUUUGAUUAAAAGAAUAAAUUACCUUAGGGAUAACAGCGUAAUUUUUUCUUAGAGUUCUAAUCGAAGAAAAAGAUUGCGACCUCGAUGUUGGAUUAAAGUUAAUUUUUGGUGUAGAAGCUAAAUUAUUAGGUCUGUUCGACCUUUAAAACUUUACA